AGCCUUAUAAGUUCUGUAAUCAGUUUAAUACUUACCACUAUUCCACUAAUAUAUUUAUGCACAUUCCAAGUAGUUAUGAAGGAACUACUUGAAUGAACAUAUAUUUAUAUAAAUAGACAUUCAGUUCUACAUGCAAACACACACAUACACACAUGCACAGGCCAUUCAAGUAUUUUUGAAAUGGGAAGAAAUCAGUGCAUGGCACUCCUUUUUUUCUCCCUCUACUCCUGUUAUUCAAAAAAAAAGAUAAAAAGAAAG
RNAcentral lists this long non-coding RNA (258 nucleotides) under Marmota monax (woodchuck). Lineage: Eukaryota; Metazoa; Chordata; Mammalia; Rodentia; Sciuridae. The record is from RNAcentral.